RNAcentral lists this ribosomal RNA (447 nucleotides) under uncultured bacterium. RNAcentral's name for it is "bacterial SSU rRNA". It matches the Rfam family "Bacterial small subunit ribosomal RNA", at positions 330 to 794 of the family's 1533-position model. The record is from RNAcentral.
CCCAGACUCCUACGGGAGGCAGCAGUGGGGAAUAUUGCACAAUGGGGGAAACCCUGAUGCAGCGACGCCGCGUGAGUGAAGAAGUAUUUCGGUAUGUAAAGCUCUCUCAGCAGGGAAGAUAAUGACGGUACCUGAGUAAGAAGCCCCGGCUAACUACGUGCCAGCAGCCGCGGUAAUACGUAGGGGGCAAGCGUUAUCCGGAUUUACUGGGUGUAAAGGGAGCGUAGACGGCAUGGCAAGUCUGAAGUGAAAGCCCGGGGCUCAACCGCGGGACUGCUUUGGAAACUGUUAAGCUGGAGUGCAGGAGAGGUAAGUGGAAUUCCUAGUGUAGCGGUGAAAUGCGUAGAUAUUAGGAGGAACACCAGUGGCGAAGGCGGCUUACUGGACUGUAACUGACGUUGAGGCUCGAAAGCGUGGGGAGCAAACAGGAUUAGAUACCCGCGUAUA